Molecule: long non-coding RNA, 2326 nt
Filed under: Zostera marina
Lineage: Eukaryota; Viridiplantae; Streptophyta; Magnoliopsida; Alismatales; Zosteraceae
Description: long non-coding RNA (ZMAR_LNC002857)
Source: RNAcentral
CCGGGUUUAUGAGUUGGACUUGUUAUGAUCUGAGUCCGAGUCCGAUUGCUGUUAAUUAAGUGUGAUAAAUCUGCACAAGUACACAAGUUAUUAGAAUUAACAAAUAGGUCCUUUCUUGACCUGAUUUAGUUUUGUGUUAUUUAUAUAAAAGCCCUUGAGUUUAAUACAUAUAGUUUAUGUAUUAAAAUCUUAUUAAAAUAACUGGAACUUUUAUAUUUUAACCCUUUUGUAAAACUGUCCCAGUUAUACUUUGGGAACCUUUUUUUUUUUUUUUUGAAGCAAUUAAAUUUCAUUAGAAUAAGACUAAUGCCAAGUUUACAAAAUAGAGAAUAGAAAUAAAAAUAGAAGUAAAAAGAAAUGAGCAAAAUGCUCAUUGACUCUCUCCCAUUAGCUAUGUAGUCUAGUUAUACAGUAACUAGAUACGCUGUCUCAGAAGGUUGGUCUCUCAUACUUCCAUCAUAGAUAUCUCCAAAGGGUGACAACAGCUCUUCUUGUAAUACACUGAAUCAAAGGAGAGACUGAUGUCUUUAAUGACCUCCUUAAGGACUACCUCAGGAGACCUACUAAUGUGCUGCCUAUACCUUUUAUUUCUUUCCGUCCAUAUAUACUUUGGGAACCUUUUAUUCUUUUUUAUUACGUUUAGGUCCAAUUAACGUUUUUAUUGAAAUAUUUAUAGAUAAGCCCUUGUUAGUUAUAAACAAAGCAGUUUAUUUUGUUUUGUCAUAACCCUUGGGUUAUCUAUAUUUCACUUGGGUCCUAAACUUGUUUCUUGUGGUAAAUUGAUAUUUUACCUUAGAUUUCAGUUAUAUUCUUAUAUGACUGAACUGAUCCCUGAUCAGACCACAUGAUAGAAAUAACAUCAGUGUACAUUAUCUAUGAAGCAAUUUCUUUGAAGACAGAACUUCAUAACCACUGUCGGAUAACACCAUGGCAUGUGAGUCAUGCCUCAUAUUCUUCAGAUUUAGUGUCAGUAGGUUCUUUAACUGUACCCAAGACGAAACCAAGCUUCCUUCUAGUUAUUAGAGCUGUGGUCAUUUCCCUAUUCCAGGGAUAGUAAUUUUCAGAACCUGUCAGUAUGUGAUUCAUGGACAGUGGCCCAUAGUCAGAGCUCUUUAGAUAAUAAGGAGAGAUAGGGUCAAACAAUGGCCCCCCUAGUGGUUUUGAAGUUGACAUUUUGUUCACUGUUUGACAUAAUUCAUGAUAAAUGACCAUUAGAAGAUAAUAAUAUUUGGAUGAUAUAAAUAGGAUUGAGAGUGAUCAAGACAGAGUUUUAAAUCAAAUAUGUUUGAUGUCAAGUUGAAAGUAUGUAUUAUCCGCCGCAGGCAGGUUCAAAUGUAGUAUAUAGCAAUACGUGAAUUAUAUAUGAAUAAUGCAGUAAUCUGUAGAUCUGUAAUUAUGAAUAAAUUAGUGUGCACAAAAUCUAGAGUGAAAUCUAUAGAUUUUACUUCCUUAUGGAGAUGGCAGAUUGUGAGCAAGAAUACAAUAUUAACUUAUUUGUGAAAAUGUAAGUAUGAAUGAAACAGAUUGUGAUCAAGUUAAAAGAAUGCAGAAAAUAUGUAAACAGUGUGUAAAAAUGUGGGCAAAUGUGAACAAGUGUGUAUGCAAGCACUUACAGAAUCAAGGAUAAGUGCAAAAAUAACCAGUAUCAAUCGAUGAUAAAUUCAGAUAAUGAAUGCAACGGAAGAUUGAAUGUUAGCAGAGAUUUUGUGAUGGGAUAAAGUGCCCACAGGGGAAGAAUCAGAAAAGAAAAUAAAAUGCGAUUUUGGGAUGAUAAAGUAGUGAAACAAUACCUGAUGGAAAUCGCAGAUUUCCUAAUAAUAUGCAUCCUUGAAGCAAAUAGAUCAACGCCGGAUAGUGAUGAAUAGCAAAAGCCUAAACCCGCUCUGAUACCAUCAUAAAAUUACAUACUUGAUUAGGUUUACACAGACAGGAAGUAACAAGAACAAUGAUACCUAAACAAUUGAAUAAAUGUAAACAAAUAAAGAAACACAGUUGCUGCAACCAGAAGUGACGAUUGCCAGAGAUGUGAAUAGAGUCGCUUGAGAAACACGCGAAUUUGGAAAAGGGAAUACUGAUGCAGACUGUCAGGAGCUGCAACUGCAUUGAUCAUAUCGUGGGUGAAGUCUUCCGAUACUUUCAACGCAUUACAAGGAGGCACCGUGGUGGUAGAAUGCAUUUUCAAGGAGUUCACUCUCCUUUUUGUAGGCGAAAGGUCAAAGAUUCACGUGCCCACUCCAUGGGAAUACUGAUGUAGACAUCCCCCUCCCCACAGGGCACAUACCUCUUCCCACCGACGAGGGAGAGGAUUAGGAGUACUGACUAUACC